This 257-nucleotide small RNA is filed under the name Pongo abelii (Sumatran orangutan). Its description in RNAcentral is "retained intron". The record is from RNAcentral. Lineage: Eukaryota; Metazoa; Chordata; Mammalia; Primates; Hominidae.
GCACAAGAUGGCGGCGGUAGCGGCAGUGGCGGCGCGUAGGAGGCGGCUUUCUGUCUCUGGUCGUGAUGACAACAGUGUGGAGUUAACCAUGGCUGAGGGACCCUACAAGAUCAUCUUGACAGCACAGCCAUUCCGCCUUGACCUACUAGAGGACCGAAGUCUUCUGCUUAGUGUCAAUGCCCGAGGACUCUUGGAGUUUGAGCACCAGAGGGCCCCUAGGGUCUCGUGAGUACAGGGGUUGGGACUGCAGGGAACCU